AAUUUUUACCAUCCAAAUGUUUAAUGCAUUAUUCUUUUUGCCCCUUUGACCUGAUUUUAAUUGAUUUGGUUCUUUAGAUUAUUGCAUUCAUUUGUAUAUAGUGUUGUUAGAGGACAGCAAAGUGAUUUCAGAGGUAAAAGUGCACUUCAAUGUGAGGUGGCUGACAGUAGCCUGGAUGACCACGAAAUCAUCAUUCACCGUGCAAGAAAACAUCUGCUUCUUCAAUAAAAAAUAAAAAAGUGACAGGUACAAGACAGAUUAUAUGACGUUAAAAACUGUGUGCCAAAACCUGCAGUUCCUCCGAUGACCACUAGAGUCUGGCUCCAACAGUGAGUCAAUCCCCACAGACUCCCAUGUUAAAAUCUCCCAACUUUAAGUACAUAAUCUUUUUAGGAAUUUAUUCACCGACCAUUCUGUCUGUGAACGAGUCAGUGUCAGUGUGACUGUGGCCUGAGAACGCUCAUCUUGUUGUUCACACACGGCGAUAUGUCUCCUUUAUGCUGUGGUGUCAUUAGGAGCCAGGAUUACAAGGACGUUCUUCAUCAUUGCAGACAAGCGCGUCUGUGCCAUGAAAUAGCUCUUCUUGUUCCUGGACUGAACACAGUGUUUGGCUCUGAGUGAUUCCUGUUUCAUUAUCUGUCUCUGCUAAUGGGGGUGGAAUAAUGGCACAAAUCAUAUUAAUCACAGCAGACUCCAACCAAGUUGAUCAGAGGAAGCAGCCUGUAACUGAGCCUAUGAAUGACACAGACAGGAAGUGUACUGAUAGUAGCUGUGAUUCCCCUGAACAGAGAGAAAAAGGCAGUGACAC
Seriola aureovittata is the source of this 808-nucleotide long non-coding RNA. RefSeq lists it as uncharacterized. The record is from RefSeq and is a predicted model, not a curated record. NCBI's taxonomy places the organism in Eukaryota, Metazoa, Chordata, Actinopteri, Carangiformes, Carangidae. The transcript is spliced from 3 exons.